GGGNNUUUGGNCAUGGGCGCAAGCCUGNUCCAGCAAUGCCGCGUGCAGGAUGAAGGCCUUCGGGUUGUAAACUGCUUUUGUACGGAGCGAAACGGUCUGCCCUAAUACGGUGGGCUAAUGACGGUACCGUAAGAAUAAGCACCGGCUAACUACGUGCCAGCAGCCGCGGUAAUACGUAGGGUGCAAGCGUUAAUCGGAAUUACUGGGCGUAAAGCGUGCGCAGGCGGUGAUGUAAGACAGAUGUGAAAUCCCCGGGCUCAACCUGGGACCUGCAUUUGUGACUGCAUCGCUAGAGUACGGUAGAGGGGGAUGGAAUUCCGCGUGUAGCAGUGAAAUGCCGUAGAUAUGCGGAGGAACACCGAUGGCGAAGGCAAUCCCCUGGACCUGUACUGACGCUCAUGCACGAAAGCGUGGGGAGCAAACAGGAUUAGAUACCCUGGUAGUCCACGCCCUAAACGAUGUCAACUGGUUGUUGGGUCUUCACUGACUCAGUAACGAAGCUAACGCGUGAAGUUGACCGCCUGGGGAGUACGGCCGCAAGGUUGAAACUCAAAAGAAUUGACGGA
Molecule: ribosomal RNA, 566 nt
Filed under: uncultured bacterium
Lineage: Bacteria
Description: bacterial SSU rRNA
Rfam family: Bacterial small subunit ribosomal RNA
Source: RNAcentral